This 11663-nucleotide long non-coding RNA is filed under the name Populus tremula. RNAcentral describes it as "long non-coding RNA (PTRE_LNC000362)". Lineage: Eukaryota; Viridiplantae; Streptophyta; Magnoliopsida; Malpighiales; Salicaceae. The record is from RNAcentral.
GUGGACUUCGGCCUGAUAAGCAUGGAAAGAAGGGAAAGAAGGAAGACGAGGAAGAGGAAGCUUCCAAAAGUGACCAACAUUCUGAACAUUCAGAUUGAGGUCACUGAAGAAGAAAAUUGAAGCAGGAGGUUCAAAAGGAAUGAAGCUGUGCUUUAGUAAUGCUCCAUAUACAACAGGUUUAAGUUUGCUUGUUAAAGAUUACUACAGGUUUGGUUUUCAGAAUUUAUAAUGAUCAGACAAUAAAGUUCCAAAAAUCAUAUAUGGUGUGAUUUACAUAUUGAUUGAUGGUGUGUCUGUAUUGUCUUAGCUAUUAUAUGUUGAGCAUAAUAUGACCAGAUAUUUCUUUUACCGACAAUGAAAGUCAUUGGCACGCAGUGAUACUAAGCUAAUAUGUUUAGUAUUUGCUAGAAUCAUGAGUUUUAGGUUAUAUAUAUAUAUAUAUAUAUAGUAGAUCCUAAACUGCUGUUCAAAAAAGCAUCCAAGAAAUAUUAAUAAUUUUUUAUGAUAUUCAUUUACUAUAUAUACCAUGGCCCUUGCACCACCCUUAACCUAUUAAUCGGUCAUAGUAAUAAUACAAAAAAAUAAAUCUCAAAGAGAUAAAUAUCAUCAUUCUCUUAUGCUCAAUACAGUCCAGUACUCCGGCAUCUAUCUAUAAGUCAUGGAAUUAUAACAGUUGCGUGUCUUGUUAAAUGUUUUAUUUUGUAAAUCAGAACCCUAUUAUUUAGAGAGGGUUUCUGGGUCUUGGAGAGAGAUUGUGAAGAAAAUUUCCCUCUUCUCUCAUCACACAAUCCAAGUAUUUAUGUAGAAAAUAACUGUUUGUUAUCCAUCACAUCAGAAAAAGGCUAAUCCAAAAUAGAAAAUCUGCUUGUUUACAGCGCAUUUGCAAGUUGAUCGAUGACCUUGUAUCGGUCUAAUUGAGCUUCAGUAUUUGAGUGGUGUCUCUAUGGGUCCAAGAGAUGAUCGGAGGUCAUGAGUCAUGAUGUUUAAGCUCCAAAAAGAGGGACUCCGCACCAGGAAUUCCAUUUAUCAAGUAACCUUGUUGAUGAGGUCACAUUUUCUUCUAGCCUUGAGGUCUCUUGGGCUUUCGGGCUAUGACAGGCCAUGACCACGAGUCAUUGGGUUGAGUAGGAAGGACGAGGUUUGAUCUUCAAUGUUGGAACUCUUCUCUUGUUAAAUCAAUAAGCAUGUGAAAAUGGUCACCGAAUAGGGCAUAACCAAACCCUUGAUUACGCUUAAUAUUAAUAAGGGUAGAGAGAAUCCUUUAUGAAGUGUAGAGUGUAUGCAAAGAGACAUGAGAAAAUGGAGAUCAGGGCAAAGUCCCCCUAUGUGUGAGCUUUUGCCUUUUCAUAUUGAGCCUAUCCUGCUAUGGUGUGGGGAUAUUUUCAUAAAUUCUCUAUUUUUGUUAGCCAUGAUUACCCUUUAAAUAAACCAUUCAUGAAAGGGAUCAGGAGUUUUUUCGGUCUCCAUUGAUUUUUUUUUUCCAUAAAGAAAAACGUAAGGUGUCCUCCAUGCAUUAGAGGAGGUUUUAUUUCGAAAUGAACAUGGUUCCGGAAUAAAAUCAUGAGCCCAUGGUGCGUCUUCCAGCUCCAAAAUGUGAACCCCGAACUCAAAGGAAAGGGACGCUUGCUCGGUUAGCUUUCCAAAUACCAAACGUGUUGAAAUGAGACCAGACUUGGUAAAAAUACGAAUAUCAGUCAUUCCAGCUGGACGUUUAAGGUCCGACUCCUUCAACUACAUACAAGAGCCUGCACAGCAUUCUUCUCCACCAUGAGACUCAGGGUGUUAGAAUGGUUUUGUGUUGACAUGUUCUACAGGCAGCCACCUACGAUAUCCAAAUUUUCGGCUAAAUGCGUCAAAAACGUUUGUAUAUUUGAUCAUAGAGCUCCACCGAAGAACAGAUCACUUGCAUACAACCUUUGCCUCCAUAACAAGGAGUGCUUCCUACCCGAUUCUUUUCUCCUUUCAUUUUUGUUCUUAAUUCAGAAAGAGAAGCUGAAAACAUUUUCUUCGAGAUUUAUUCAAAUGUUAGUGGAAUUUAAAGGAAAGUACAACUAGUACCAAACAUGGAUUUUCUUGGAAAGAGGAAAGAUCAUUUAACUUGGCCUCAAGGACACCUUGAAUCACAAGAGACAGUGAUAACUUGUAAGGGGGAAUCUUGUUCCUUUAUCUCUUCAGCUUCUUGAGCUACUCGUGUUGCGUGAUUCUGCAUUUCUUUGUUCUUACCCCAAAGAAGAAUGUACAAGCCAGUUAUCACAAAGAUGGAUCCCAGCAAACUGCUCAUGAAAAUCCCUAUUGUGAAAAAUAAAAUAAAAAUAGAGGCAGUGUUAGUACUAUCCAAGACAGCAUGGUCAAAAAGUUUACCUGCCAAGAUAGAGUUCCUCAUGGAGGAGAGGGACAUCAAGCAUGGCUGCCAUUAUCUGAACUAGGGGACUGAACGCUGCUGUAAAGACCGGGCCCCUUUUCUUAACACACCAUGACAUGCCUACAUAGCACAAGCCCGAUCCUAUCAUUCCCUGCAUAAAUCAAUGGUUCAUUAAGCAGCGAAGAGACACGACAGAAACGAAGAGCUCUAUGGAUUUCAGCUUUUGAAGGUUGUGCUUACAGCAUACAGGACAGUUAUAAUUUCCAUUUUCCCCUUCAGAAUCCAUAUGGAGAGGCUCCUUUCAGUGGACAAGCAUAAAAUAGCUGACUGAAUGGCACCGAAGAAGGACAUAAUGGCAGUGCUAGAACAUUGGAAGGGGUAUCUCCUUCCAAUAUGUGAUUGAAGUACAAACCAACCAGACCACAACAGCGUUCCAACAAGCAAAGCAAUACAACCAAAGGUCCAUCUUCCGGCCCUUUUAGUUUGGCUCAGCUUUAGGCUAUGAUCCAUGGCUCGAGUUACAGCUUGACCAGGUGAGUUGUUAAAUAAUGGUGCUCCUCGGUGGAGAGUCAGCAGCAUGGCACCAGCAACGCACACCAGGGUACCGAGUACUUUGGCUUUUCCGCUGUUGGAUUUUAUAUGAACAGUCUCCAUUCUGCAAGGCAAUAGAUAGAAACCAAGAAAAGCUAAAGCUGCAAGACUGCGACAAAGAAUAUGACACGUUGCGGAACCAUGAAAGUUGAAAGAAAAUUAUUAUGGAUACUUGAAUGGCAGUGCCAUUAUAAACGUAACGACAGGAACCAUGUUGAUGAAGGCACAUGAAAAUGAAGCAGAUGUAUAUUGAAUGCCGAUAAGGAAGAAGUAUUGUGUCAGUGAUGCCCUGCAAGGAACAAUUAGUUGAUGAGUCGUCCAUGAUAGUAGUGGCAAGGAUAUUGAAAACUUGAAAAGGCUUAAACAAUACUCACCCGACAAUCGCACUGAGGAACAGGUAACAUAAGAUGCAAAAUGUGAGCUGUGGUCUGCUACCCCUGCAAGCAAGCAAGCUUGAUUUGUAAGAUCUGUUGCUUUAAUAUCUGAAAAGUAGUAUAUAUCACAAUGCUACAAUAAGAACUUCAAUCCUUAUUCAUUAACUUUAUUAGCCGACGAACAUUUGGUUCUAGCAAGCUAGCUAGCUACAUGCCUGUAUAGACUAUUCUGGGGAGGGGCACGAGCUUAUACAGUCAAGAAAUCAAAAUAAAAAUAAGCAGAAUGUUGGACUGAAGAGCUACUAUAUAUAUACCUUUCCCGGAAGUAGCCGAUAGGACCCAAGAAAAUAGCAGAAAUCGAAAGCCGGUAUGUGACAAGGACCAGAUGGUUAAUCCCCUCAUCAAGGACUUUCUUGAGAAGAAUAUUCACAAUGGAAAAAGCAAAAUCAAUUGUUAUCAUUGCUAUGAAAGGUUUCCAUUCAUGACAGCUCUUCAAAUCAGCCAUUGAAUCCAGCACUCUUGAAAGAAGUAGAGUAGCACUUUUCUUAUCACUCUCUUUGCUAAACAAUUUCCUCUACCAGACAGUACUACAAGCUUAUGUGCAGAGAUAUUGCCCUAAAUAAAUGGACUCUGGAAUAAUUGGGUAGUAAGAAGAAUUGAAUUCUUCAUCAAUCGCUUUAAGCAACCAAUAUCGACAAUAGUUUGUUAUUUAUUCUCUUCUUUACACUUUCUUUUGAGUGAUACUUUCCAACAAAUGGAGAUUACAAGAGAAUCAUUUAGCAUCACGGAUCAUACAAAACAGUGAAGCAUCAAUACAUGAUUUCGUCCUCGAAAAUGGUAGAAGAAGCAAAAUUAUGUUAGAAUUAUGAGAUUUUGCCUUUAGAAAGAUAGAAUUAAGAUCAGUUUUUCAUAUUUGAAUUCUGUAACAGUUUAUCUCCUUCAGGAUUUGCAGCAGAAACAUUCUGCUUAGUCUAGGAUUUCAAUUCCAAUAAUCUCUCAAGUUUGUUGAGAGUUCUAAUGCAUUUCAAGUUCUAUGUAAGCCUAUAUAUAGGCAUUUGAAGUUAAUGAAAACUAUUGAUCUUUCUACUCAACUCUGCCAUCUUAAAUCUGUUUCUUUUUCUUUACGUAAACUGUAUUGUUUAAGUUUAAUUCAUUUCCAUCAGUGGUAUCAGAGCAAAUAGAUCCUACGGGCUGUGGGGCAAACAAUUUUUUCUUUCUUUUGAGUGAUAACAAUAAGAGAAGGUGAGGCAAACACAGAGAGGGUGAGCGAAACACUUGAGAGUUAUUUUCUUUCUGUUUUUUGUCAAUGUCUUCUUCAAACAAUAUUGUAUCUGCAAUUCCAAUGUUUAGUGGAGAACUCUAUCAUAUUUGGGCUGUCAAAAUGAGAUUUUAUCUAAGAUCUCGUGGCUUAUGGAAUGUUGUGGCAACCGAUUCUGAUCCUCCACCAUUGAAUGCAAAUCCUACAAUUGCUCAAAUGAAAGCACAUGAAGAAGAAAAACUCAAGAAGGACAAAGCCAUUACCUGUCUUCAUUUUGGUCUUGCAGAUCAUAUUUUCACAAAAAUUAUGAAUCUGGAUCACCAAAACAGGUAUGGGAUAAGCUUCAAGUUGAAUUUGAAGGCAGCAGCAGAGUCAAAGCAGUUAAACUUCUUGCAUUUAAGAGGGAAUUUGAGUUGAUGAAGAUGAAAGACAAUGAAUCUGUCAAAGAUUAUUCUGGCAGAUUAAUGGAUGUUGUAAAUCAAAUGAGGCUUCUUGGAAACACAUUUGAAGAUCAUAAGGUAGUAGAAAAACUUAUGAUGUCUGUUCCUCAAAAGUUUGAAGCUAAAAUCUCAGCAAUAGAAGAAUCUUGCGAUCUGCAAAGUCUGACUAUUGCUGAGUUAAUUAGCAAACUUCAUAUUCAGGAGCAAAGAGUUCAUAUGAGAGAUGAUGAGGCAGUUGAAGGGGCUUUCCAAGCAAACAACAGGGAAAGGAGUGCUGGUAAUCUACCAAGAAACAAACCUGUCAAGUAUGCUAAAAGGAAAUCAAGUAUACCUUCAAAAAGACAGACUUUCUCACCAUGUUCUUAUUGCAGAAGAACUAACCAUACUGAGAAAGAUUGCUGGUUUAAGGGGAAACCUUCUCUUCAAUGUUUAUUCUGUAAUAAUCUCGGUCACAGUGAGAAAUAUUGCAGAAUCAAGAAGAAGCAACCUCAGCAACAAAUACAACAACAAGCAAAUGUUUCUGAAGAAAGCAAAGAUGAGGAGGAGCAUUUGUUUAUGGCAACACAAGCUAGCAAUACCUCUGAACUGAAUACAUGGCUUAUAGACAGUGGCUGCACAAGUCACAUGUCCAAAUUUCUGUCAAUUUUCUCCUCUAUUGACAGAUCAGUUCAACCGAAGAUUAAGCUGGGAAAUGGAGAUAUUGUGCAAGCUAAGGGGAAAGGAACUGUUGCAGUCAGCACAAAUAGAGGUAUUAAAACCAUCACAAAUGUUCUUUACAUUCCUGAACUAGAUCAGAAUCUCCUUAGUGUUGCACAAAUGCUCAAGAAUGGUUAUGAAGUCUCUUUUAAAGAGAAAUUUUGCUUUAUCACUGAUACACAUAAUUCAGAGAUAGCAAAAAUCAAAAUGGAUGGUAAUAGCUUCUAUUUGAAGCUUGAUGCUGUUAAUGGACAUGUGUUUAGUGCAAAGAUUGAUGAAAGCAUUCUUUGGCACAAAAGAUUCGGUCAUUACAAUCUUAAUUCAUUAAAGUUGUGUAUGAUACUGGAAUGGUAGAAAACAUGUCUGCAAUACAUGUUACUGCUCAUACAUGUGGAAGUUGUGAACUGGGAAAGCAGCAUCGACAACCAUUUCCUAAAGGUAUAUCCAAAAGGGCAACACACAUGCUGGAGCUGGUUCACUCAGACAUAUGUGGACCUAUGAGCACAGCUUCUUUGAAUAAUAAUGUGUAUUUUAUAUUAUUCAUUGAUGACUACAGCAGAAUGACUUGGGUUUAUUUUCUGAAAAAACAAGUCACAAGCUUUAUCUAUGUUCAAAAACUUCAAAAGCAUGGCUGAAACUCAAAGUGGUCAGAAGAUCAAAGUGUUGAGAACUGAUAAUGGUGGAGAGUAUAUUUCGAAGGAGUUUAAUGCCUUUUGUUCAGAAGCUGGAAUUGUGCACCAGCUGACGACUCCUUACUCUCCACAGCAGAAUGGAGUUUCUGAAAGGAAGAAUAGAACAGUGAUGGAGAUGUCCAGAUGUAUAUUGUUUGAAAAGAAGUUGCCAAGGUUUCUAUGGGCUGAAGCAGUAAAUACUUCAGUAUACUUGCUUAAUAGACUUCCAACCAAGUCUGUUCAAAACAAAACACCAUUGGAGGCAUGGUCUGGAGUCCGGCCUACUGCCAAACAUUUAAAAGUGUUUGGAUCAUUGUGCUAUUUUCAUGUUCCAUCUGCCAAAAGAGGAAAACUAGAUGCUAGAGCAGAAAAAGGGAUUCUUGUGGGAUAUGCAACAGAAUCAAAAGGUUACAGAGUUUUCAAUCUGAAUUCAGCCAAAAUUCAGGUCAGCAGAGAUGUGCAAUUUGAUGAAAAUGCCUGCUGGAAUUGGGACUUAAAAGAAGUUCAACAGACUAUCACAGCUGACCUUGAAUCACCAGUACAAAGUAUUGAUGAUGAAGAUCAACAAGCCAUUGAAGCAACUUCAGAUACAACAGUACUUAAGGUUAGACAACUGUCUGAUGUGUAUGAAAGAUGUAACCUUGUACAUGCUGAGCCUACAAAUUACUCUGAAGCUGCAGGAGAUCCAGCUUGGAUUGAAGCAAUGAAAUCAGAAAUUGAUUCCAUUGAAAGAAAUGGGACUUGGAGAUUGACUGAAAUUCCUGGAGAUAAAAAGGCAAUUGGAGUGAAGUGGGUUUUCAGAACCAAAUUCAAUCCAGAUGGUUCAAUCUUCAAACACAAGGCUAGAUUGGUUGUUAAAGGUUUUGCUCAAGUUGCUGGAGUGGAUUAUGGAGAUACUUUCGCACCAGUAGCUAGGCAUGACACUAUAAGACUCCUACUUGCUCUUGCGGGACAAAAAGGAUGGAAAGUUUAUCAUUUAGAUGUGAAGUCUGCUUUUCUAAAUGGAAUACUACUUGAGGAAAUUUAUGUUCAGCAACCAGAAGGCUUUGUUGUUGCUGGUGAUGAACACAAAGUUUACAAGCUACACAAAGCUCUUUAUGGUUUGAAGCAAGCACCAAGGGCUUGGUACAGCAGGAUUGAUACUCAUUUGAUUCAACUAGGAUUCAAAAGAAGUGAAAAUGAAGCUACCCUAUAUCUGAAACAAGAUGAAGAUGGUUUGCAGCUGGUGAUAUCACUCUAUGUAGAUGACAUGCUAGUUACUGGAAGCAAUGCAAAGUUGCUGGAAGAGUUCAAAACUGAAAUGCAAGAUGUUUUUGAAAUGUCUGAUCUUGGCAUUAUGAACUACUUUCUUGGAAUGGAAAUACAUCAAUGUAGUUCGGGUAUUUUUGUUUCACAAAGGAAGUAUGUUGUUGAUAUACUCAAGAAGUUCAAGCUUGAGUCAUGCAAAGAAGUAGCAACUCCUUUAGCACAAAAUGAGAAAGUUUCAAAGAAUGAUGGUGAGAAACUUGAAGAUCCCUCUGGAUUUAGAAGCCUAGUGGGCAGUUUGCUAUACUUGACAGCAACUAGACCUGACUUAAUGUUUCCAGCUGGUUUGCUGUCAAGGUUUAUGAGCUCACCUAGCAACAUUCACAUGGGAAUUGCUAAAAGAGUGUUGAAGUACAUCAGAGGAACAACUGAUCUUGGCAUCUGGUACUUGAAGACAGGAGGAGUAAAUCUGAUUGGUUAUGCAGACAGUGACUGGGCAGGGAGUGUUGAUGACAUGAAGAGCACCUCUGGAUAUGUUUUUAAUAUUGGUUCAGGUGCAAUCUGUUGGAAUGCAAAGAAGCAGGAGGUGGUGGCACAAUCAACAGCUGAAGCAGAGUAUAUCUCCAUGGCAGCUGCUGCAAAUCAAGCAAUUUGGUUGAACAAAUUGCUUGCUGAUUUGGGUCAAGAACAAAGCUCACAAACUGAGCUUCAUUGUGACAAUAAAUCUGCCAUUGCUAUUGCUCUAAAUCCGGUUCAACAUGGCAGAACCAAGCACAUCAAUGUGAAGUUUCAUUCUAUAAGAGAAGCUGAGAAGAACAAGCUUAUAAAGCUACACUACUGUCCAACAGAUGUUCAACUUGCUGAUAUAAUGACUAAAGCUCUUCCUAGAUCAAGACUGGAAUUUCUAAGGAUGAAACUUGGUUUGUCUAAGGCAAGUCUCAAGGAGGAGUGUUAGAAUUAUGAGAUUUUGCCUUUAGAAAGAUAGAAUUAAGAUCAGUUUUUCAUAUUUGAAUUCUGUAACAGUUUAUCUCCUUCAGGAUUUGCAGCAGAAACAUUCUGCUUAGUCUAGGAUUUCAAUUCCAAUAAUCUCUCAAGUUUGUUGAGAGUUCUAAUGCAUUUCAAGUUCUAUGUAAGCCUAUAUAUAGGCAUUUGAAGUUAAUGAAAACUAUUGAUCUUUCUACUCAACUCUGCCAUCUUAAAUCUGUUUCUUUUUCUUUACGUAAACUAUAUUGUUUAAGUUUAAUUCAUUUCCAUCAAAUUAGAUAUGGCCACAAGUUUUUCACUUGCAUUUUCUUCUAGGCUUUAUCGAUGUUAAUGAUGUUUUUCUCUCUUUACCAUUGAAAUCCGACGACCUCUCUCUCUUCUCUGUCAACCAUGAAUUAAAAAAUAACAAAAAUGAACUUUCAUACCAAAAUUGAAUUUGAAAAAAAUAAUAAUAAUAAGGUACGAAAAUCAUAUAAUUUGUGUUAUUUUAAAAGUUAGAGUACCAAAGUGUAUCUUUUCUAAAAAAAUUUAAACGCCACCUAUGUUUGGCAUCCUUUUUAUUUAUGUCUCUAUUCUUCUAAUCUCACCCUCACCUAAAAAAUAAGAAGCAAUUGACCUUAAAUUAGGAUUGAAUUAUCUAAAAUAAAAAUUUAAAGAUCAUGUACAGUGAAUAUUCCAAGCAUUUUAAUAUUUAGUAUUAAUGUGUGCAGGGAUUUAGAAGGAAAAAAAACAUGUAUACACGGGGGUAGGGGGUACUGAUGCUAAAUGGAUCUUUGAUGGGAGAAGAGAGGGAUAGAUAAGACAUGGGUUGAGAGAAAGUAAGAAAUUUUUUUUUGAAAAAAGCAAAACUUUUGUUAGUUACCUAGUAAGAAAAAGAAAAAAUUCAUACUUCUUAAGAAUUACAGGGUGCAAUUAAAAAAUUUAGAACUAUAAAAAAUAAAUGAAAUAUUGAUAAUCUUUAAAGGUAAAAAUAAAAUUUAUUGGAACCUAUAUACCUUAUCAACUUCUAACCGAGAAUCCUUCAUGUUACAACUACCACGGUAAAUAAAGAAUCAUUGCAGUCCUAAAACCAUAGUUGUAAAACAUGACAUACAAUUAACUUAGAGCAAGGUUGAGUUAUAGGUUGAGAGGGAUGAUCUAUGUUGACUUGUAAUUUUUUUUUAAAGGAUCGAUCCGGAUUUUUUAUUGGAUUUACCAGGUUUUUUUUUUUUUUUCAUUUUUAUUCAACUUGAAUCAGUUCAAAUCUAGUGUCGGUCCGAGUUUUAAAACCAAUCAUCUUCUUAAAACAUGAGUUUUUUAGAAUGACAACAGGUGAGAAUUUAGUUUUUUUUUUUUCAUUUAAAAAACACAUAAACUUUUAAGAGUUAAGAAUUUAAAUUUUUUUAUUUGAUUGUAACUUUACAAUCUUUAUAAACAUAUCUUCAAAACAACUCAUAUGCUAAUUAAUUGUGAGUUGAGAUUAAAUUUUCAUUUUUUAAUACUCUAUAUAUAAUUAAGUAUAAAACCUUAUUUGAUUUAUUUAAAUCUAAGGUCUGGUUGUAAGAAGUUAAAUUCUAUAAUUAACCUCCCAUUCUGAUAUGAAUAGCCUACUCUUAAGUUUUAACUAUAUUAGCGAUGCAAAUUAAUAUUGAUGCAUGGAUAAUUUACUUAUUUUAUUCAAUUAUUUGUGAAAUCCUAAAUAUUUUGCAGAUAAUUUUUAUGUAACAUAAUUGGAAAGAAUAGUUAAUUUCCUUAAAUGGUUUUCUUCUACUAAAAUUUUAAAAUAAAAUUAAUUUUCAAUAUAAAUUUAUUUCAUGGUUAAAAAUCAAUUGGCAUACUUGUUAAUCAAUUCAAAAUGAAAUAAUAAUAAUAAUAAUAAUAAUAAUAAUAAUUAUUAUUAUUAUUAUUAUUAUUAUUAUUAUUAUUAUUUAAUUCUUUUGGUAGGAUCCAAAAGAAAAGGGAAAAACUAUUGUGUGAGCUAAUUAGAGAAAUUGAAAAUGUGAAAAUUUUUUCUUUCAAUUUAUUUUUCUACCACAAUUUCACACUGGCAGUCGACCCUUUAUGAGAUGGAGUACUUGUUUUGUUUCACAAGCAUGGUACUAAUGGAAUAAGAAGAGAGCCUUAUCAUUCACAAAAGAAAAAGAAAAAAAAAUUGUGGAAGGUAAACUCAUUGCCAAGCAAUCCUUUCUCUUUUCCAUCUUUAAUAAAUCAAAUUCUUAUAGUGUCUUCUAAGUUAUUCCCUCCCUUUAAUUUAAUUAGUCUUUCCAACAGUUGGCACCUCACAUUUCCUCUUAAAUUCAAUGGAGCCCCUCUAGCUCCAACCCAAAUUCCAUAACUUCAAUUCUCCUGCAUUUUCUUACAUUCCUUGCUAGCCCCGACCUUGUCAGCCUAAAAAAUCAUGGCUUCUGACGGAAACAAGAACAAACCUCUCGAUCGUGAAGUUAGAGACAUGGUGAAUAACAUGACACGCCGCAUUGUUGAUCAGUUUCACAAGCCAAGUGCAAGUCUCCACAACCAGGAAAGCGCGGCUGAUGAGGAUGGUCACGGCGUUAGAAUCGUUACUCUUGCUGGAACCAACACAGGAGCUUCAAUGCGAAGCGAGUUGGAUGAUCAGAAAUCCAACAAGUUGCUGGAACCAACACAGGGACUUACGUUAAUAGCAAUUUCCAAGCUGUUAACAAUUCUAUCAUGUUUGGUAGCAACUACAGCACUAAUGAUCCUGGUGUUCAUAUGGACAUUUGGGAUACUUAUGAUGAACAUCGUGGACUUCGGCCUGAUAAGCAUGGAAAGAAGGGAAAGAAGGGAAAGAAGGAAGACGAGGAGGAGGAAGCUUCCAAAAGUGACCAACAUUCUGAACAUUCAGAUUGAGGUCACUGAAGAAGAAAAUCGAAGCAGGAGGUUCAAAAGGAAAUGAAGCUGUGCUUUAGUAAUGCUCCAUAUACAACAGGUUUAAGUUUGCUUGUUAAAGAUUACUACAGGUUUGGUUUUCAGAAUUUAUAAUGAUCAGACAAUAAAGUUCCAAAAAUCAUAUAUGGUGUGAUUUACAUGUUGGUUGAUGGCGUG